RNAcentral lists this ribosomal RNA (144 nucleotides) under Salmonella enterica subsp. enterica serovar Derby. Its description in RNAcentral is "partial 23S ribosomal RNA". It matches the Rfam family "Bacterial large subunit ribosomal RNA", at positions 1 to 134 of the family's 2925-position model. The record is from RNAcentral. Lineage: Bacteria; Pseudomonadati; Pseudomonadota; Gammaproteobacteria; Enterobacterales; Enterobacteriaceae. RNAcentral also lists the same sequence under 8 other names.
GGGUUGUGAGGUUAAGCGACUAAGCGUACACGGUGGAUGCCCUGGCAGUCAGAGGCGAUGAAGGACGUGCUAAUCUGCGAUAAGCGCCGGUAAGGUGAUAUGAACCGUUAUAACCGGCGAUUUCCGAAUGGGGAAACCCAGUGU